RNAcentral lists this ribosomal RNA (253 nucleotides) under uncultured bacterium. RNAcentral's name for it is "partial 16S ribosomal RNA". It matches the Rfam family "Bacterial small subunit ribosomal RNA", at positions 524 to 776 of the family's 1533-position model. The record is from RNAcentral.
UACGGGGGGAGCAAGCGUUGUUCGGAUUUACUGGGCGUAAAGAGCGCGCAGGCGGUCGUUCAAGUCGCGUGUGAAAGCCCCCGGCUCAACUGGGGAGGGUCACGCGAUACUGAUCGACUCGAAGGCAGGAGAGGGAAGUGGAAUUCCCGGUGUAGUGGUGAAAUGCGUAGAUAUCGGGAGGAACACCAGUGGCGAAGGCGACUUCCUGGCCUGUUCUUGACGCUGAGGCGCGAAAGCUAGGGGAGCAAACGGG